RNAcentral lists this ribosomal RNA (380 nucleotides) under uncultured eukaryote. Its description in RNAcentral is "partial 18S ribosomal RNA". It matches the Rfam family "Eukaryotic small subunit ribosomal RNA", at positions 592 to 976 of the family's 1831-position model. The record is from RNAcentral.
CAAUAGCGUAUAUUAAAGUUGUUGCAGUUAAAAAGCUCGUAGUUGGAUUUGUGGCGUACGGUGUGUUCCGGGCACUUGUUGCCUGAGUAACCUGCUGUUGCCAUCCUUGGGUGGAACCUGUGUGGCAUUAGGUUGUCGUGCAGGGGAUGCCCAUCAUUUACUGUGAAAAAAUUAGAGUGUUCAAAGCAGGCUUAUGCCGUUGAAUAUAUUAGCAUGGAAUAAUGAGAUAGGACUUUUUUGCUAUUUUGUUGGUUUGCGCAAAGAGGUAAUGAUUAAUAGGGACAGUUGGGGGUAUUCGUAUUCCAUUGUCAGAGGUGAAAUUCUUGGAUCUUUGGAAGACGAACUACUGCGAAAGCAUUUACCAAGGAUGUUUUCAUUAA